UUAACUCGAAUUUGUAUGCAGUUGGAACAGCGGCAAACAUAGGCAAACGUUCCAACUCCAUACAAAUUUGAGUUA
RNAcentral lists this microRNA precursor (75 nucleotides) under Bombyx mori (domestic silkworm). Its description in RNAcentral is "mir-2807 microRNA precursor family". It matches the Rfam family "mir-2807 microRNA precursor family". Lineage: Eukaryota; Metazoa; Arthropoda; Insecta; Lepidoptera; Bombycidae. The record is from Rfam by way of RNAcentral.